This 315-nucleotide ribosomal RNA is filed under the name uncultured prokaryote. Its description in RNAcentral is "bacterial SSU rRNA". It matches the Rfam family "Bacterial small subunit ribosomal RNA", at positions 26 to 352 of the family's 1533-position model. The record is from RNAcentral.
AGGAUUAACGCUGGCGGCGUGCCUGACACAUGCAAGUCGAACGAGGUCGCAAGACCGAGUGGCGGACGGGUGAGUAACACGUGACCAACCUACCCCGAAGUCUGGGAUAGCCCUGCGAAAGCAGGAUUAAUACCGGAUGUGGCCCGGCGAGGGCAUCCUCGCCGGUCUAAGGAUUCAUCGCUUCGGGACGGGGUCGCGGCCUAUUAGCUUGUUGGUGGGGUAACGGCUCACCAAGGCGAUGAUGGGUAGCUGGUCUGAGAGGACGACCAGCCACACUGGGACUGAGACACGGCCCAGACUCCUACGGGAGGCAGC